ACUCCGAAACUGCAUUCGAUACUGCCGUGCUUGAGGACUGGAGAGGAGACUGGAAUUUACGGUGUAGCGGUGAAAUGCGUAGAUAUCGUAAGGAAGACCAGUGGUGUAGACGGCUCUCUGGACCGCAACUGACGCUGAGACACGAAAGCGUGGGGAGCGAACAGGAUUAGAUACCCUGGUAGUCCACGCCCUAAACGAUGCAUAUUUGGUGUAGGUCAUUCAGUUGAUCUGUGCCGGAGCUAACGCGUUAAAUAUGCCGCCUGGGGAGUACAGUCGCAAGGCUGAAACUCAAAGGAAUUGACGGGGGCCCGCACAAGCGGUGGAGUAUGUGGCUCAAUUCGAUGCAACGCGAAGAACCUUACCAGGCCUUGACAUGCAUUGCUAAGUUGGUGAAAGCCAGCGACUGGAG
Molecule: ribosomal RNA, 409 nt
Filed under: uncultured bacterium
Lineage: Bacteria
Description: bacterial SSU rRNA
Rfam family: Bacterial small subunit ribosomal RNA
Source: RNAcentral